Long non-coding RNA from Brassica napus (rape), 3987 nucleotides. RefSeq lists it as uncharacterized. The transcript is spliced from 2 exons. The record is from RefSeq and is a predicted model, not a curated record. NCBI's taxonomy places the organism in Eukaryota, Viridiplantae, Streptophyta, Magnoliopsida, Brassicales, Brassicaceae.
AUUUAAUUUCUCCUCUUAAACUACCGUCUGCUAUUUCAGUUUUCCAUAAAAUUUUCGCUGCAUCUUCACUGCAUGAUAAUGGUUCUCGUUCUUGUGGAGAUACCCACCAGAAUAAAUAUAUAUGUAAAUGGUAACAUGAAAUAAAAUUAAUGGAAUCAAAUAGAUGGAAUAAGAUGACUGAAAUUAGUUUGAAAACUAAAUAUUUUCAUUCCAUUCAUUCAUAAUCAAAAUUGUAAAGUAAUGUGUUGGUAUGUUUUUCUUUUUAUUUUUUGGAAUGUUUGUGGAAUUCAUAAAAUUAGUAUUCCAUUACUAGAAUGUCAAAUGGUAAUUUUUUUUUGAAAUUAAUAGAAUAAGCCAUUCCAUAUCUUCUCAUUCUAAAAAGUAAAAAUCAACAAUUCAGUUGCACCCUAAUCAUUUUUUCAGUUGAUUAGGUUUUUCUAAUUAACUAUCUUAUCUUUUUAUUAUAAGUUUCAUACUGACAAAGUUUAGUUUCUCAAGUAGAACAGAUUUCCAGUUGAGGUUUUUUCUCCCCAAUGUCAUCUUGAUAUUACAAGUAUAAUUGUUGAAGAUAUAUUGAAUGAGCAGUUAAAAUAACACUUAGUUUACAAAAAAGAUAAUUUAAUUCAUAAACUCUAAUCCAACUUUUAUUCCUUAAAUAUUAUUCUUUAAAUUUUAAUCACGAAACUCUAAAACCUACAAAGAAUACAUAUAUUCGUUUUUUAUUUUUAAUAAAUAAGAUUCAAAAAAAAAAAAUUCCUAAUUUUGUAGUGUUAUUCAAGUCUAAUACAUAUUUGUUAUGUGGUGACCUCCUUUUCAGAUCAAUUAGAAAUUUUACUUACUUCAAGGCUAGGCAAACCAUUUAGUAUUGAGGUUUAUGUCUCAUCAUGGGAGAGGCUUUGUGGUGAUCUACUUUUAAAAGUAAUAAGACCAUUGAUUAGUCCACAGACUGGAAUCACAAUUCAGGUAUACACUAGAUUUUAGGGAAAUUAAUGAAUUAUGAAACAUAACCCAUAAUUAACAUGUUGAUAUUUAGUAUAUGAAACAUACACCUAAGCUAAUUGCACUGAUUAUGGAAUCAUGUUGACUUCUAAAAUCAAUUCUGGUUUAGAAAUGGAAAGAGUGUAUGAUUUGAUGAUUUAUAAUAGUUCGGAAAUUAUUAUUGAUAAUAUAAUGUCAAUACUAAAAUUUAAUUACGGUCGUGGUUUAUGAACGUUUACCAAGAAAUCUAUCUUAUUAAAGGAGGAUUAAAUGAGGAGUACAAAUACGAAAUCACCUUAAAGCUUACAACUUAUUUACAAAAAAAUGACACUGCAAUAAAUAAUAAGCCUAAUUACUUUAAGCAUUAAUGUCCUUUCCUAAUUUGAUAUAUCUAUCUUACGCUAUUAAAAGGAGAAUAUGAAACCCUGUUAAGCUGUCAACGUCAGCGAAAAAAUUCGCAACCAAUUGUUUGUCAAUGUCAUCAUGGAUGUUAAGUUGUUGGGCCACGAAUCUGUGCUGCGUAAUAGGCCAUCUAGCUUUAAUGACCCAUUUGUUUUGUUAUCUUCUUACUCCAACCUAAUUUUGUUACGACGUCUACAGAAGACCUUCCAGAACUCACUGUCUUCUUAUCUCUUCUGUAUAACGCCUGCGACUGCUAUAAUGACGAAUUAAAGCUACUUAAUUACUCCUCUAGACAAAUCGGCGUCUAACUCUCCACAUCCCUCCUCUUACUCAAUCAUAACGAUGUCUCGUCGAGCCAAAAAUCUAUUGCUCAGAUCCUCAAAUCCAUUCCUAGCUUUAUGGCAAAUCAAACGGCAGUCACCACCACCCAAAUUCAUUCCCCACUUUUCUUCAGUAAGGUUUCAUCAGGACCCGGAGAUUCCCAGUUGCUUUUUAAGCUAAUCUAUUUCUGGAGAGCUCGAAAUAAUUUCAAAGGAGGCAUCUUUCUCGGCCUUGAGAUGCUGAUGAUUGAUGAAGAGGUAUGUGUCCAUAUUUCAAUAUUAUGUUUCCGAUUUCGUACACGCCUUUGAUUUUUUCUAACAGAGAGAGAAUAUGUUAACAAAAUUGUAUCAUGAAACUCAACACCUAAGAAUUUUUAACAUUAAGAGAUAAUUUUUAAGAUUAGUUAAAUAAGUGAUCAUCUGUGAAUAUGUUAAUGGUUCUCAAUAUCCUUUUAUGUAGUAACUAAAUACAGAAUUGUUCAUAUUGAAAUCUACUACAUAUUUCACAUUUUUAUAACAAAUAAUUAUUUACAAAAUAAUAAAUACCAAAAAGUUUAAUAUUGAAAAUAAAUUAUGGCUUCAAAACUUAAAGAAUUGCUGAAUCAUUUUAUUGGUUAUCAAAAUUUACAGAUUUAAGUAUUCAAAAUUAUUACACAUUUAUAAAAUUAUAUAUUUAUAUGAAAUAAAGGUUAUUUACCUAUACUUCAAAAAAUAAUUCAAAAUCAAUCAGACGAUAUAUAAGAAAAUAUAUAAUAUACAUAAGAUGAUAGAAUUUUUUUUAUUUUAUUAAAUGUAGAGUAUUUAAAUUUUAAGAAAGAUUUAAAAAUGGUUACGAAAAGAUUAAUAUAGACAUUUAAUAUGUUAACAUAAAUUAAUGAUAUUUCAAACAAAAAUAUAUAUCGAAACAUAUAAAUGAUAUAAUAUUAAAAAAAACAAACUUAUAUUUUUUUUUUAAUCUAAGGUUUAAUGUUUAUAGACAAACAAACCGCGCGUAGCGCGGUAAAAUCUCUAGUUACUAUAAAACGCGCGGUAAAAUCUCUAGUUACUAUAAAAAACGAAUUAACUAUCUCCUUAAGCCUCCACAUAAGAAUAUGAGUUUCUAAGAACCUGCCACGUGUCCAUUUAAGUUAGUUUACUUGCUUUUUGUUCGUCUUCGAAAUAGAUUUGACGGGCUUCAGACAUUCAGCAUUGGGGCUAUCGAAUUUUGCUUCUUUGAAUUUGAUUCUAUAUGGGCUUAUGGGGCUAUCUUUUUUUUUUAACUCAGAUUUGUAAAGUUAAUACCCAGCCCCAUAGAAACAGAUUAUCUUCUUCGUGAGAGGCGAUAAAGAAACGAGUUUUAGAAAGACGGUCUCCGUCUGUGAUGAGAGUAUCAAAGACACGAGUCUCCUGAUCGUCGCGUCUAUGUCGAUCCGUUUGCUUCAGUAUCGAUUCAUCUCUUCGUGUGUUUCGAUAUCGAUUCAUCUCCUCGCAGGCGUUACAACCUGCAUUGAUACAACGCCAUUAGAGAUCAAUCAUUCGAAUUUUUUUUCUCAUCUCCUAUGUUCUAUUUUCUGAUCUGAAGGCCAGUUGCCCCGUGGAGGUGCGACUGCUCAAGUCUAGCCUCCUCCCUCCUCAUGGAUCGAACCUUCCUUAUGCUUCACUCCAAGCCUUUUGUUCAAGGAAGCUUUAAUGUGUUUGGCUGGAGACUUCUCAGGAAAGGCCAUCGGAAGAGUACUGUUCAAGGUGUGGAAGUUCUCGCCGGAGAGGGAGAAACACCGGAAGCAAGAGGACUCGAUCAGCCAUGUCUCGAUUUUUUACCGGUUACGAUCCGUUUUUUGGGUUGCUUUGUCUCCAUCUCUCAAAGACUUAUCAGUUGAUGUCUGCUUAAGAAACUCUUCAUCUUCCAUAACCGGGUCUAACCCAUACCCUAAUGGUUUCCGGAAGCUGAUAAGAUCAAAAAUUUAGCUAGACAAAGCAAGCAGCUUGGGAAACUAAAAGUAUGGAUUGGCGUUGUUUCUAGACUUUUUAGUUUAAAUUUAUUGUGUGAAAAAGAAUAUUUGUUGCUUGGAUCAUCUUCUUGCAUUUUCAGGUGACUAAGUUUGCAAGUCUCAGGAGCAUCUUUACCAUUUGUUUUUUUACGGAAUUUACUGUUUCAUAUUUGUAGUGCUUACCUCUUUUUUAAUAUUACGCAGUACUCGCUAAAGAAUAACGGUUAACUAUAAAAUAACAUAAUAGUAUACAAAUACGAGUCCAAACGAUCUUAAAGAAUUUGUCUAAGUUUAGAUUAAUUGAUAUUUUUAUCCUGUCA